This is a non-coding RNA of Hygrophoropsis aurantiaca, 96 nucleotides long. NCBI's taxonomy places the organism in Eukaryota, Fungi, Basidiomycota, Agaricomycetes, Boletales, Hygrophoropsidaceae. The record is from the annotation of a GenBank genome assembly.
UCUUUGCUAGUAUAUCGGAUAGUACAGCCGCCUGUCAUAGGAAUGGUGCCAUCCCACUGAUCGCGGCAGAGCUGGGUUCGACUCCCAGGCAGAGAG